This 253-nucleotide ribosomal RNA is filed under the name uncultured bacterium. RNAcentral's name for it is "partial 16S ribosomal RNA". It matches the Rfam family "Bacterial small subunit ribosomal RNA", at positions 524 to 776 of the family's 1533-position model. The record is from RNAcentral.
GACAGAGGGUGCAAACGUUGUUCGGAAUUACUGGGCGUAAAGCGUGUGUAGGCGGUCUCAUAAGUCAGGUGUGAAAGCCCUGGGCUCAACCCAGGAAGUGCACUUGAAACUGCGAGGCUAGAGUAUCGGAGAGGUUGGUGGAAUUCUCGGUGUAGAGGUGAAAUUCGUAGAUAUCGAGAGGAACACCGGUGGCGAAGGCGGCCAACUGGACGAAUACUGACGCUGAGACUCGAAAGCGUGGGGAGCAAACAGG